GGGCGCAUAGUGUAAAGGAUAUGAUGCUCUUUUUCUGGACAUCCUCCAAAUCUUUGCCAUUGCAGGAGUUUUCGGUUCGAAUCCGGAUGGGCCCA
This is a non-coding RNA of Rhodocollybia butyracea, 95 nucleotides long. NCBI's taxonomy places the organism in Eukaryota, Fungi, Basidiomycota, Agaricomycetes, Agaricales, Omphalotaceae. The record is from the annotation of a GenBank genome assembly.